GAUGAACGCUGGCGGCGUGCUUAACACAUGCAAGUCGAACGGAAAGGCCCAAGCUUGCUUGGGUACUCGAGUGGCGAACGGGUGAGUAACACGUGGGUGAUCUGCCCUGCACUUCGGGAUAAGCCUGGGAAACUGGGUCUAAUACCGGAUAGGACCACUUCUUGGAUGUUGUGGUGGAAAGUUUUUUCGGUGUGGGAUGAGCUCGCGGCCUAUCAGCUUGUUGGUGGGGUAAUGGCCUACCAAGGCGUCGACGGGUAGCCGGCCUGAGAGGGUGUACGGCCACAUUGGGACUGAGAUACGGCCCAGACGCCUACGGGAGGCAGAAGGGGGGAAUAGUGCACAAGGGGCGCAAGCCUGAUGCAGCGACGCCGCGUGGGGGAUGACGGCCUUCGGGUUGUAAACUCCUUUCGCUAGGGACGAAGCGUUUUGUGACGGUACCUGGAGAAGAAGCACCGGCUAACUACGUG
This 467-nucleotide ribosomal RNA is filed under the name uncultured bacterium. Its description in RNAcentral is "partial 16S ribosomal RNA". It matches the Rfam family "Bacterial small subunit ribosomal RNA", at positions 28 to 507 of the family's 1533-position model. The record is from RNAcentral.